This 217-nucleotide ribosomal RNA is filed under the name uncultured bacterium. RNAcentral's name for it is "partial 16S ribosomal RNA". It matches the Rfam family "Bacterial small subunit ribosomal RNA", at positions 524 to 735 of the family's 1533-position model. The record is from RNAcentral.
UACGUAGAGUGCAAGCGUUAAUCGGAAUUACUGGGCGUAAGCGUGACGCAGGCGGUUUUGUAAGUUUGUCGUGAAAGCCCCGGGCUCAACCUGGGAAAUUGCGAUGAAGACUGUCAAGGCUUGAAUCUGGCAGAGGGGGGUAGAAUUCCACGUGUAGCAGUGAAAUGACGUAGAGAUGAUGGAGGAACAGCCGAUGGCGAACGGCACCCCCUGGGUC